GAUUGGUAUUGGCUGAAAUGUUGCAGUAAUCACAUGAUAGGGUUAAUACAACAUGAGUUACAUGCUGAGUGCUCUAAGGUAGAAAGUAGGUAACAAGGAAUAACAGGUAGGUAAUGUAAGUUGGGAGAAGGAAACUCUAGGACAGAAUCAUUAGAAAAGGCUUGACGUCAUCAGCAGUGUAUAGAAUUUACAGUGUAUAGAAUUUACAGUGCAUAGAAUUUACAAUAAGUGCCUUUUUUUGUGCUCAUCAAUGCUCUUGCUUGUAUUGUAGGAGGAGUUAGUUCCCUUGAAGAAAUAUCAAUACAAAUUUCCAAAUUGCAAUGCAGAGGGAAAAAAGAAUGAGAAAGUAAAAAAUAUCCAAGAACUCUGGAAGCAUUUCAAAAAUUGUAAAAAUGCAUAGUGACAAUGUCAGGAGAAUAAGGAGAUAAAGGAAAAGAAAUAUUUGACACAACAAUGACUUGAGCACUUUCUAAAAUUAAUGAUGGACAGAAACCCACAUGUUCAGGAAGCUCAGAGAGCACUCUGCAGAAUAAAAAUAUUUUACAAAUCAACACCUUUGCAUUUCAUAUUUAAAGUCUGGAAAAUCAUAGACUAAGGGAAUAGUUUGAUAGGAGCAAUAGGAAGAAAACCAUCUUACCUAUGGAGCAACAAGAAUAAAAAUUGCUUUGAAAUUAUCUUCAGAAUCCAUGAAAGCAAGAAGUUAUGGAAAAGUGAAAUGAAUGACAGCAAUAUUAUAAGUCAUCCAGUUCCAAGAUGGCCGAAUAGGAACAGCUCCAGUUUACAGCUCCCAGUGUGAGUGACGCAGAAGACAGGUGAUUUCUGCAUUUCCAACUGACGUACCAGGUUCAUCUCACUGGGGCUUGUUGGACAGUGGGUGCAGCCCAUGGAGUGUAAGCCAAAGCAGGACGAGGCAUCACCUCACCUGGGAAGCGCAAGAGGUCAGGGAAUUCCCUUUCCUAGCCAAGGGAAGCGUGACAGACGGUACCUGGAAAAUUGGGACACUCCCACCCUAAUACUGUGCUUUUCCAACUGUCUUAGCAAAUGGCACACCAGGAGAUUAUAUCCCGCGCCUGGCUUGGAGGGUCCCACAUCCACGGAGCCUCGCUCACUGCUAGCACAGUAGUCUGAGAUCAAACUGCAAGGCAGCAGUGAGGCUGGGGGAGGGGCAUCCACCAUUGCUGAGGCUUGAGUAGGUAAACAAAGCGGCUGGGAAGCUCGAACUGGGUGGAGCCCACCACAGCUCAAGGAGGCCUGCCUGCCUCUGUAGACUCCACCUCUAGGGGCAGGGCAUAGCAGAACAAAAGGCAACAGAAACUUCUGCAGACUUAAACAUCCCUGACAGCUUUGAAGAGAGUAGUGGUUCUCCCAGCACAGAGUUUGAGAUCUGAGAACAGACAGACUGCCUCCUCAAAUGGGUCCCUGACCCCCAAGUAGCCUAACUGAGAGACACCUCCCAGUAGGGGCUGACUGACACCUCGUACAGCUGGGUGCCCCUCUGAGACGAAGCUUCCAGAGGAAGGAUCAGGCAGCAACAUUUGCCGUUCUGCAAUAUUUGCUGUUUUGCAGCCUCCGCUGGUGAUACCCAAGCAAACAGGGUCUGGAGUGGACUUCCAGAAAACUCCAACAGACCUGCAGCUGAGGAUCCUGACUGUUAGAAGGAAAACUAACAAAGAGAAAGGACAUCCACACCAAAACCCCAUCUGUACGUCACCAUCAUCAAAGACCAAAGGUAGAUGAAACCACAAAGAUGGGGAGAAACCAGAGCAGAAAACCUGAAAAUUCUAAAAAUCAGAGCACCUCUUCUCCUCCAAAGGAAUGCAGCUCCCUGCCAGCAAUGGAACAAAGCUGGACGGAGAAUGACUUUGACGAGUUGACAGAAGUAGGCUUCAGAUGAUCGGUAAUAACAAACUUCUCUGAGCUAAAGGAUGAUGUUCAAACCCAUCGCAAAGAAGCUAAAAACCUUGAAAAAAGAUUAGAUGAGUGGCUAACUAGAAUAAACAGCAUAGAGAAGACCUUAAAUGACCUGAUGGAGCUGAAACCAUGGCACGAGAACUACAUGACACAUGCACAAGCUUCAGUAGCCGAUUUGAUCAAGUGGAAGAAAGGGUAUCAGUGAUUGAAGAUCAAAUGAAUGAAAUGAAGCAAGAAGAGAAGUUUAGAGAAAAAAGAGUAAAAAGAAACAAACAAAGCCUAAAAAAGUAAAAAAGUAAAACAAAGUAAAAAAGAAACAUGGGACUAUGUGAAAAAACCAAAUCUACGUCUGAUUGGUGUACUUGAAAGUGACGGGGAGAAUGGAACCAAGUUGGAAAACACUCUGCAGGAUAUUAUCCAGGAGAACUCCCCCAACCUAGGAAGGCAAGCCAACAUUCAAGUUCAGAAAAUACAGAGAAUGCCACAAAGAUACUCCUUGAGAAGCGUAACUCCAAGACACAUAAUUGACAGAUAGACCAAAGUUGAAAUGAAGGAAAAAAUAUUAAGGGAAGCCAGAGAGAAAGGUCAAGUUACCCACAAAGGGAAGCCCAUCAAACUAACAGCAGAUCUCUCAGCAGAAACUCUACAAGCCAGAAGAGAGUGGGGGCCAAUAUUCAACAUUCUUAAAUGAAAGAAUUUUCAACCCAGAAUUUCAUAUCCAGCCAAACUAAGCUUCAUAAUUGAAGGAGAAAUAAAAUACUUUACAGACAAGCAAAUGCUGAGAGAUUUUGUCACCACCAGGCCUGCCCUACAAGAGCUCCUGAAGGAAGCACUAAACAUGGAAAGGAACAACCGGUACCAGCCACUGCAAAAACAUGCCAAAUUGUAAAGACCACUGAUGCUAGGAAGAAACUGCAUCAACUAACGAGCAAAAUAACCAGCUAACAUCACAAUGACAGGAUCACAUUCACAGAUAACAAUAUUAACCUUAAAUGUAAAUGGACUAAAUUCUCCAAUUAAAAGACACAGACUGGCAAAUUGGAUAGAGUCAAGACCCAUCAGUGUGCUGUAUUCAGGAGACCCAUCUCAUGUGCAGAGACACACAUAGGCUCCAAAUAAAGGGAUGGAGGAAGAUCUACCAAACAAAUGGAAAACAAAAAAAAGCAGGGGUUGCAAUCCUGGUCUCUGAUGAAACAGACUUUAAACCGACAAAGAUCAAAAGAGACAAAGAAGGCCAUUAUGUAAUAGUAAAGGGAUCAAUUCAACAACAAGAGCUAACUAUCCUAAAUAUACAUGCACCCAAUACAGGAGCACCCAGAUUCAUAAAGUAAGUCCUUACAGACCUACAAAGAGACUUAGACUCCCACACAAUAAUAAUGGGAGACUUUAACACCCCACUGUCAACAUUAGACAGAUCAACAAGACAGAAAGUUAACAAGGAUAUCCAGGAAUUGAACUCAGCUCUGCACCAAGCAGACCUAAUAGACAUCUACAGAACUCUCCACCCCAAAUCAACAGAAUGUACAUUCUUCUCAGCACCACAUCGCACUUAUUCCAAAAUUGACCACAUAGUUGGAAGUAAAGCACUCCUCAGCAAAUGUAAAAGAAUAGAAAUUAUAACAAACUGUCUCUCAGACCACAGUGCAAUCAAACUAGAACUCAGGAUUAAGAAACUCACUCAAAACCGCUCAACUACAUGGAAACUGAGCAAUCUGCUCCUGAAUGACUACUGGGUACAUAAUGAAAUGAAGGCAGAAAUAAAGAUGUUCUUUGAAACCAAUGAGAACAAAGACACAACAUACCAGAAUCUCUGGGACAUAUUUAAAGCAGUGUGUAGAGAGAAAUUUAUAGCACUAAAUGCCCACAAGAGAAAGCAGGAAAGAUCUAAAAUUGACACCCUAACAUCACAAUUAAAAGAACUAGGGAAGCAAGAGUCAACACUUUCAAAAGCUAGCAGAAGGCAGGAAAUAACUAAGAUUGGAGCAGAACUGAAGGAGAUAGAGACACAAAAAACCCUUCAAAAAAUCAAUGAAUCCAGGAACUGGCUUUUUGAAAAGAUAAACAAAAUUGAUAGACCGCUAGAAAGACUAAUAAAGAAGAAAAGAGAGAAGAAUCCAAUAGAUGCAAUAAAAAAUGAUAAAGGGGAUAUCACCACCAAUCCCACAGAAAUACAAGCUACCAUCAGAGAAUACUAUAAACAUCUCUAUGCAAAUAAACUAGAAAAUCUAGAAGAAAUGGAUAAAUUCCUGGACACAUACACCCUCCCAAGACUAAACCAGGAAGAAGGUGAAUCUCUGAAUAGACCAAUAAUAGGCUCUGAAAUUGAGGCAGUAAUUAAUAGUCUACCAACCAAAGAAAGUCCAGGACCAGAUGGAUUCACAGCUGAAUUCUGCCAGAGGUACAAAGAGGAGCUGGUACCAUGCCUUCCAAAACUAUUCCAAUCAGUAGAAAAAUAGGGAAUCCUCUCUAACUCAUUUUAUAAGGCCAGCAUCAUCCUGAUACCAAAGCCUGGCAGAGACACAACAAAAAAGAGAAUUUGAGACCAAUAUCCCUGAUGAACAUCAAUGCAAAAAUCUUCAAUAAAAUACUGGCAAACUGAAUCCAGCAGCACAUCAAAAGCUAAUCCACCACGAUCAAGUUGGCUUCAUCCCUGGGAUGCAAGGCUGGUUCAACAUACACAAAUCAAUAAACAUAAUCCAUCAUAUAAACAGAACCAAAGACAAAAACCACAUGAUUAUCUCAACAGAUGCAGAAAAGGCCUCGACAAAAUUCAACAGCCCUUCAUGCUAAAAACUCUCACUAAACUAGGUAUUGAUGGGACGUAUCUCAAAAUAAUAAGAGCUGUUUAUGACAAACCCACAGCCAAUGUCAUACUGAAUGGGCAAAAACUGGAAGCAUUCCCUUUGAAAACUGGCACAAGACAGGAAUGCCCUCUCUCACCGCUCCUAUUCAACUUAGUGUUGGAAGUUCUGGCCAGGGCAAUCAGGCAGGAGAAAGAAAUAAAGGGUAUUCAAUUAGGAAAA
Molecule: long non-coding RNA, 4934 nt
Filed under: Pan troglodytes (chimpanzee)
Lineage: Eukaryota; Metazoa; Chordata; Mammalia; Primates; Hominidae
Description: long non-coding RNA NONPTRT005264
Source: RNAcentral